UCUCCGUUGGUGGACCAGCGGAGGGAUCAUUACCGAGUUUACAACUCCCAAACCCCUGUGAACAUACCAUUUGUUGCCUCGGCGGUGCCUGCUUCGGCAGCCCGCCAGAGGACCCAAACCCUUGAUUUUAUACAGUAUCUUCUGAGUAAAUGAUUAAAUAAAUCAAAACUUUCAACAACGGAUCUCUUGGUUCUG
This 195-nucleotide unclassified non-coding RNA is filed under the name plant metagenome. RNAcentral describes it as "partial contains small subunit ribosomal RNA, internal transcribed spacer 1, and 5.8S ribosomal RNA". The record is from RNAcentral.